Molecule: ribosomal RNA, 413 nt
Filed under: Pseudoxenodon karlschmidti
Lineage: Eukaryota; Metazoa; Chordata; Lepidosauria; Squamata; Pseudoxenodontidae
Description: partial 16S ribosomal RNA
Rfam family: Bacterial large subunit ribosomal RNA
Source: RNAcentral
AGUGAAUAUUUAACGGCCGCGGUACCCUAACCGUGCAAAGGUAGCAUAAUCAUUUGUCUAUUAAUUGUAGACCGGCAUGAACGGCAAAAUGAGGGCCUAACUGUCUCUUAUAGUAAAUCAAUUAAACUGAUCUCCUAGUAAAAAAGCUAGAAUAAGAACAUAAGACCAGAAGACCCUGUGAAGCUUAAACUAAACCAUUAAAUCAAAUAAUGAUUACUUUCGGUUGGGGCGACCCUGGAAAAAAAAAGAACUUCCAAUCUGUAUACCCACACAACAGGCCCACAAGCCACACACUUGACCCAGCAUAGCUGAUAAUCGAACCAAGUUACUCCAGGGAUAACAGCGCCAUCUUCUUCAAGAGCCCAUAUCAAAAAGAAGGUUUACGACCUCGAUGUUGGAUCAGGACAUCCUAA